Molecule: ribosomal RNA, 449 nt
Filed under: uncultured bacterium
Lineage: Bacteria
Description: partial 16S ribosomal RNA
Rfam family: Bacterial small subunit ribosomal RNA
Source: RNAcentral
AGCGAACGCUGGCGGCAGGCCUAACACAUGCAAGUCGAGCGCCGUAGCAAUACGGAGCGGCAGACGGGAGAGUAACACGUGGGAACGUACCCUUCAGUUCGGCACAACCCAGGGAAACUUGGGCUAAUACCGGAUACGUCCGGAAGGAGACAGAUUUAUCGCUGAAGGAUCGGCCCGCGUCUGAUUAGAUAGUUGGUGAGGUAACGGCUCACCAAGGCGACGAUCAGGAGCUGGUCUGAGAGGAUGAUCAGCCUCACUGGGACUGAGACACGGCCCAGACUCCUACGGGAGGCAGCAGUGGGGAAUAUUGGACAAUGGGCGCAAGCCUGAUCCAGCCAUGCCGCGUGGAUGAUGAAGGCCCUAGGGUUGUAAAGUCCUUUCGGCGGGGAAGAUAAUGACGGGACCCGCAGAAGAAGCCCCGGCUAACUUCGUGCCAGCAGCCGCAGUAA